UCAAACAGAGAAAAAAUAUCAAAAAGAGGAAGUGUGUGGAUUAAAGGAGUGGAGAAAGUGGUCCCAAGUUUGCUACACUAUUAUAUAGAGGGCCUUCCAAGAAGACCCUUGGUCAGGGGUGUCCAAAGUGUGCCCAGGAGCCAUUUGCACUCGGAGUGAUUUUGUGCUGUCCCCAACUGCAGUUCAAGAAUGAUAUGGCCCACCAGCAAAGGGUGAGCUGUCCCCCAACGUGUGACAGCAGGUCCUCAUACUGGAUCCUGGACAGACAGAAGUACUGCUGGAAGUGACCGUCAUCCAGACGCAGCUCCUGGAGCAGGUUGCUCUUCUCAACUCCUGUUCUUGGGUACCAUUGGGAAGGACAGGUCUUGGCUGUCCUGGCUCUUGACAGAGGAGAUAAAUCACUUAGCACACUGGAGGAUAGCCUUCCAGUCGGCGAGCUGGGAACUUCAUUAUCCCGCCCCUGCCACACAUUACCAUGCAGAUUGUCACUGAUUGGCCUGGCUCCGUGGCGUAUGCAGCCUACUUCUGUCACCGCCAGAGGAGCCUCAGAUGUGUCUCCGUUUUGAGAGGGGAAGAGGAAGAAAAAAAUAUCAGUAAAUGGAAUGAUGAGAAAAUAGGAAAGGUGGAAGUGAGACAUACUGUAAUAUGCUAAAAUUGGAAUAUUUUCAGAGGAAGUGGGAAAUUUGUACUAAUUUCACCUUAGCUCAGGCAUAUUUUGUGUAAACAGUUUUAGUACCAAAUAGUUUCUGCUGACACUGCAAUGCACUAAGUGAGGCAAGCAUACUUCUGUGUAAAUUCUGCUGUUAUGUAGUUUCCUCAAGCAUUCAGGCUUAGGGAAACCACAAUUUCUACUCAAGUGAAAUUGUCUUGAUGUAGAAUAACACCUUGUAUGUUGGGAAACUGCAUAACUUUCUUUCCCACAAGCCACCCACAUUGAGCACUUCUGAGAACUAAUGGAUUUAUAUUUAGACAAC
This is a long non-coding RNA of Fundulus heteroclitus (mummichog), 974 nucleotides long. RefSeq lists it as uncharacterized. The transcript is spliced from 4 exons. Lineage: Eukaryota; Metazoa; Chordata; Actinopteri; Cyprinodontiformes; Fundulidae. The record is from RefSeq and is a predicted model, not a curated record.